Molecule: ribosomal RNA, 918 nt
Filed under: uncultured bacterium
Lineage: Bacteria
Also listed under: 1 other name
Description: bacterial SSU rRNA
Rfam family: Bacterial small subunit ribosomal RNA
Source: RNAcentral
GGAUCCAGACUUUGAUUAUGGCUCAGGAUGAACGCCGGCGGCGUGCCUAACACAUGCAAGUCGAACGAAGCUUGACGGAUGAUUUCUUCGGAAUGAAACCAGAUAUGACUUAGUGGCGGACGGGUGAGUAACACGUGAGCAACCUGCCUUUCAGAGGGGGAUAACGGCUGGAAACGGUCGCUAAUACCGCAUGAUGUGUUCGGAUGGCAUCAUCUGAACAUCAAAGAUUUAUCGCUGAAAGAUGGGCUCGCGUCUGAUUAGAUAGUUGGUGGGGUAACGGCCUACCAAGUCGACGAUCAGUAGCCGGACUGAGAGGUUGAACGGCCACAUUGGGACUGAGAUACGGCCCAGACUCCUACGGGAGGCAGCAGUGGGGAAUAUUGCACAAUGGGGGAAACCCUGAUGCAGCAACGCCGCGUGAAGGAUGACGGUUUUCGGAUUGUAAACUUCUUUUCUUAGUGACGAAGACAGUGACGGUAGCUAAGGAAUAAGCAUCGGCUAACUACGUGCCAGCAGCCGCGGUAAUACGUAGGAUGCAAGCGUUAUCCGGAUUUACUGGGUGUAAAGGGAGCGCAGGCGGGACUGCAAGUUGGAUGUGAAAUACCGUGGCUUAACCACGGAACUGCAUCCAAAACUGUAGUUCUUGAGUGAAGUAGAGGCAAGCGGAAGUCCGAGUGUAGCGGUGAAAUGCGUAGAUAUUCGGAGGAACACCAGUGGCGAAGGCGGCUUGCUGGGCUUUAACUGACGCUGAGGCUCGAAAGUGUGGGGAGCAAACAGGAUUAGAUACCCUGGUAGUCCACACUGUAAACGAUGAUAGCUAGGUGUGGGGGGUCUGACCCCUUCCGUGCCGGAGUUAACGCAAUAAGCUAUCCACCUGGGGAGUACGACCGCAAGGUUGCAACUCAAAGGAAUUGACGG